CCUGCCCCUUGAGGCGUUGCAGCCCAGCCGUCAGUGCUGCAGCUGUGUCAUAAGGCGGCAGAGAGAGAGCGGUGGAGGUCUGCACUGAGACUCCAACAUGUGGAGGACUCGGAGUCAUACUGUCCACCUACAAU
Cheilinus undulatus (humphead wrasse) is the source of this 134-nucleotide small nucleolar RNA. RefSeq annotates it as small nucleolar RNA SNORA17. The record is from RefSeq and is a predicted model, not a curated record. The transcript has a single exon. Lineage: Eukaryota; Metazoa; Chordata; Actinopteri; Labriformes; Labridae.